This 534-nucleotide long non-coding RNA is filed under the name Panax ginseng (ginseng). RNAcentral's name for it is "long non-coding RNA (PGIN_LNC008604)". Lineage: Eukaryota; Viridiplantae; Streptophyta; Magnoliopsida; Apiales; Araliaceae. The record is from RNAcentral.
UUUCCACUUAUAUUAUCUUGGCCAUGAUUACCACUGAAGUGGUUAUCAUUUCUGGCGUGUUGAUUCCCUCCACGUCUGUUGUCACCGCUUUGAUGAUUGCUACCACUAGUAUUAUCGAUUUGCCGACUGCUAUCUCUUGGUUGUGUUGACUCAUUAUCACUUUCCAAUACCUGAGCCCUAUUUAUAACAUUUGAAUAUAAACAUAGUUUAUGAAAAGUUAGGUAUUGACGUAUCUCAGGCUUCAAACCUCUUAGAAACAUCCGCGUCAUUCUCUCCUCAUUAUCAACUAAGUGGGGCGCAAACUGGGACAACUCGGAAAAUUUAGCUUCAUACCGUCACACGAUCAUAUUGUUUUGCUCCAGCUUGAUAAACUCUACCUCCUUCAUGUGACGAAUACUUUCGGGAAAGUACUUGUCGCUGAACAGUUCUUGGAACUUCUCCCAAGAUAUCUUCAGUGCGACAGGUUGGGUACGUUUUAUGGAUUCCCACCAGUAAUCUGCCUCUCCUCGCAACAUGAAGGUGGCAAAGGGAACC